Long non-coding RNA from Xiphophorus couchianus (Monterrey platyfish), 1971 nucleotides. RefSeq lists it as uncharacterized. Lineage: Eukaryota; Metazoa; Chordata; Actinopteri; Cyprinodontiformes; Poeciliidae. The record is from RefSeq and is a predicted model, not a curated record. The transcript is spliced from 2 exons.
UUAAACACGUUUAUUUACAAGGCCUGGGUCAGACAUCAUCACACUGUACAAUGUAGAGAACAAUAAUCACAAUAAUAAAUACACAAACACCAGCAGAUAAACUUUCUCACAGGCACUAUUUUUUCUUACGCAGGCACAGGCUGAUUUUACAGAGAGUUUAAUGACCUUCAGUCUGUUUGACUGCAGACGACGUUGUGGGAGAAAACCUUGAUAUGCAGCUAGAAUAAAAAUAAAAAUGCAUUCCUCCCCAUUUCAGCCAAAUUCAAGUGUUCUGCAGAGUGGAAAUGCAACACAGUGUGCAUUUUUAGUUUGCUUAUUGCGCUGUGAAUAUACUCGUUUAUGAGCGUCAGCAGUUUUCUCCUCAUUCGGGGAUUUUCAUGGUGCAAGACGUAAGCUCUGAAGCGGCUCUGGGCGUCAAACCAUUCGAUCAGAGGAUUGUGUCGCAGCUGCACCAUGGAGACGAGGCUGGUUUGUUCGCUCUAUUACUAAAUACAUAGUUAGUGUUUAUGUAGUGAAUAUGUCUUAUUGCUGGAGAAUUGCUGCUAAUGAUCUAAUUGGGCUCAGAAAUAUUUAAAUAAGAACAGAACUCGUCCACGCUUUAGAACAUAUCUAAGAGUUAUAGACAUUAAUCAUGCUAAAACAAAAGCCAUGCAUGAAUAUUUGUCCUGGAAUCUUAAUAAAAUCAAUAAAAGUGGAGUUACAGAGAGGUUGAGGUCAAACCACAUACAGUCUAAAUAUAUCCAGCUGCUGCCGGGAAUAAUUACUGGUUUAUUCUAAAGUAAGGUAAAAUGGAAAACCUUCAUUUGUGUAUGAAAGUACAGUGUGAAAGUAUGGAGGAACAAAAGUGCCACUAAAACCAAAAAACCUAAAUUUAAUUAAAUACAUAACCCUAUGUAGCAGCACAUUCUAAAUGUUUGUUUUAUAUAAAUUACCAUAUAAUAAUAGUAUACUUAUUUAUAUUAAAAUAAGCCAAAAAUUGUGUUUUAUAUUUUUUUUAAAUAUGCAAAAUUGAUCUAUUUAUAUAUUAGGGUCAGGGAUUUAACAAGUUAGUUUCAAUUAAUUAAUUACAUUUAACCUGGUAAUUUUAACACAAUUAACUGCUUUUGUUAAAAACAUAAUCAAGUCCCACUAGAAUGCUGUAGUAUCCCGCACUAUUACAGGAUGCUAAAAUAACUGAAGAACUCUUAAAACUAUAGAUUAAAAAGUUUUAGAUGCUUCCCAUAAUAAAUAAGAAAUAAAUUCCACAUUUAUUUAAGUGUUUAAUACAUUAUUGAACCGUUUAAUAAUGAACAUUUAUGUAUUUCCAUUUUUAUUUAAAAUAUCAGCUAAAUCAAUAUUUAUUUCACAUCUUAUUCGUGCAUUAAUUUGUGGCCCUUGAUAAAAACGAAGUUUUCAAAAUGUUAUGUUUGGCGCCCCCUGUAGGCAACUCUUCAAAGUGCACCAUAAUCAUUAAAUAAAACUGCAGAACGACUCGGGGAAAAACACCAAAACGGUUACCUGUAGCACUCAUUUAUGAGCUGAACCAAAACCAGCCAGACUAAAGUAAACCUAAAAGGCCUGUUUUUACAAAUGCUUUGUAAGAUUUUGUGUUUUUUCUCUGUGGAUUAGGUUUUAAGCUGUGCAACCAUUUCAGUUUUCUGCUGUACAGUUAUUCCACCUGUGGUGAGUGUAUGUAAAGUUGUGAUCUGAACUCUAAAUGUGGCAUCAUAACACUGAUAUCUGGACCUCUGAAAAAUGAGGUGAAAUGGUCGAAAGGAUCUUCCAGAACUUUCAGGCACAGAGGACAGGGAAACGCGAAGGAGAAACUGGAGCGUGGGAAACCGAUUCAGCAUCAUAAAGCGUUAAAAGAGAGGAGGACAAGAAUAAGUAAUCUAAACUUCUGGAUUAAAAAUGGUAAUAAAAUAAAGAAAAAUUAGGAUUAAAGCAGCUUCUAUGUAAAUAGAAACAGGGAAUGAUGGGGGAUUGAGCAGA